CUUGGAAUUGAGGUGAAGAAACACAAGGAUGGACUUCAUCUCUCUCAACAGAAGUAUGCAACAGACUUGGUAAGAAAGGCAGGCCUGCAAAGUUGUAAACCCUCCUUCACUCCAUUAUCCAGCUCAGAAAAGCUAUCUCUCACAGAAGGGCAACUUUUGAAUCAAGAGGAUAGUACAAAGUACCGGAGUUUGGUAGGUGCAUUACAGUACUUGACUCUAACAAGGCCUGAUAUUUCUUUUGCUGUCAACAAGGUAUGUCAGUUUCUGCAUGCACCUACCACUGUGCAUUGGACUGCUGCAAAGCGCAUUAUCAGAUAUGUCAAACAUACUUUGAGCAUUGGUCUUAGUUUCAGCAAGUCAUCCUCCACUCUUGUUAGUGCUUUCUCUGAUUCUGACUGGGCAGGCUGCCUGGAUGACAGGCGCUCCACUGGUGGAUUUGCAAUAUUUUUUGGACCAAACUUGAUUUCAUGGUGUGCAAGAAAA
RNAcentral lists this ribosomal RNA (483 nucleotides) under Triticum aestivum (bread wheat). RNAcentral describes it as "partial small subunit ribosomal RNA". The record is from RNAcentral. Lineage: Eukaryota; Viridiplantae; Streptophyta; Magnoliopsida; Poales; Poaceae.